RNAcentral lists this ribosomal RNA (460 nucleotides) under uncultured bacterium. Its description in RNAcentral is "partial 16S ribosomal RNA". It matches the Rfam family "Bacterial small subunit ribosomal RNA", at positions 338 to 795 of the family's 1533-position model. The record is from RNAcentral.
CCUACGGGCUGCAGCAGUGAGGAAUAUUGGUCAAUGGGCGUAAGCCUGAACCAGCCAAGUCGCGUGAGGGAUGAAGGUUCUAUGGAUCGUAAACCUCUUUUAUCAGGGAAUAAAGUGUGGGACGUGUCCUGUUUUGUAUGUACCUUAUGAAUAAGGAUUGGCUAACUCCGUGCCAGCAGCCGCGGUAAUACGGAGGAUCCGAGCGUUAUCCGGAUUUAUUGGGUUUAAAGGGUGAGUAGGCGGCCUUUUAAGUCAGCGGUGAAAGUCUGUGGCGCAACCAUCGAAUUGCCGUGGAAACUGGGAGGCUUGAGGAGGUGUGAGGCAGGCGGAAUGCGUGGUGUAGCGGUGAAAUGCUUAGAUAUCACGCAGAACCCCGAUUGCGAAGGCAGCCUGCCAAGCCAUGACUGACGCUGAUGCACGAAAGCGUGGGGAUCAAACAGGAUUAGAUACCCGUGUAGUC